CCUUUUUUUGAUAUUUCAAAUAUUUUAUUUCAAAAAAUUCGAUCAUACUUUGUGGUGUUUUUGAAAAAGUAACUCCAUUUAUUUAUUUAGAACAUUUGCUUCUCGAUAGUAUCUAUCGAUACUUUCAAAGUUAUAAGAGGAAUUACUCGAUUUCCUUUUCCUAUAUGGCAUAAUACAUAUUUUCUAUAUUUCGGUCGUCCAUUUUUCUAAUUUUUGUAUACUAAUAGAACCUUACUCUAUUGAUUUUAGUAUCAGUAUCUCAUAAAAGGUGAAAUUUUUUUAGAAGUUCAUUGAAGAAGUUCUAUUUGCUUAAAAAAUUUCCCUUUCUUUUUUUGUUUGUCCACUGCUUUUACUUUUUUUUAUACGCAAUAAAUCUAAUUUAUACGUAUAAAAAGUAAAAGGAAGUUAUGAUAAACCUAGAAAAAAUAGAAACUAAGAAUAGUAAUCUUUGAGGAAUUGGAUCAAGAAUGAUUAUUAUUUUGUUUUGACACAAGAAAGGGAUGUGGAAAAUUCCUUUUCUUGUGUCGAAGACUAGGAAGACGAAUAAAAUAAUACCUCCUAGAAUCCUUUGUUCCCCUCAUUUAAUUUAGCCUUUCUGUGCUUUUCCGCUUACUUAUCUUAUGCUUAGUAUCUAGUCAAAUUGGAUUCUAUUUAAAAUAGAAAAGCUAUUGAUCCACUCUAUGACAGUUAAAUCUGACAAUAGUAAGAUA
This 710-nucleotide long non-coding RNA is filed under the name Jatropha curcas. RNAcentral's name for it is "long non-coding RNA (JCUR_LNC003202)". Lineage: Eukaryota; Viridiplantae; Streptophyta; Magnoliopsida; Malpighiales; Euphorbiaceae. The record is from RNAcentral.